AACGAACGCUGGCGGCGCGCCUAAUACAUGCAAGUCGAGCGAGAAGACGUAGCAAUACGUUUGUAAAGCGGCGAACGGGUGAGGAAUACAUGGGUAACCUACCCUCGAGUGGGGAAUAACUAGCCGAAAGGUUAGCUAAUACCGCGUACGCUCCUUGGACUUUGGUUCAGGGAGGAAAGCGAUACCGUGGGUAUCGCGCUCUUGGAUGGGCUCAUGUCCUAUCAGCUUGUUGGGAGGUAAC
This 241-nucleotide ribosomal RNA is filed under the name uncultured bacterium. Its description in RNAcentral is "partial 16S ribosomal RNA". It matches the Rfam family "Bacterial small subunit ribosomal RNA", at positions 29 to 261 of the family's 1533-position model. The record is from RNAcentral.